AAGUCAACCUACGAUCUAUGAUGCACUCUGGGAGGCAUUUAGAAGAGCUGGUAUAUGGUGGCCACGGGACUCCUUUUAAGAACUCACUGCCGCAGAAGAGGAGUGUCGUAGGAAUGUAGCAUAGCUCACUGCAGGCUAGACCAGGGUAGCCCAGUGAAGCAGGGGAAUAUUGAGCACUGGAGGCGUCUGAGGACUCACUUUCACCAGGAGAGAGGUCAGGAGACAACCCUGGAAAGGAUGCUUGCUAAGUGAGGCGGCAUGGUGGAAUUGAACUUGGAGGAGGACUGUGCUCAGUACUCUCGUCCCCAAGGCAAGAAGGCUGUGAAGCGGGAAGGAGAAUGGGCCUCCCAAGGUCACUCUCGGCCAUCUGUAACUUCCUGCUUCAGUUCUAAACCUGGGGGCUUGUUUCGUGCCUUCGCUCCAAACAGGUUUUCAAUAUGGUCCCCAUUUGAGUUCGUCUUGGUGACUCUGCUCACACUUUAAAGAAGUUCUCAAGAGGCAAAAGCGCAAAACAGCAAAAAAAUGAAACAAACCAGAAAGUUAGCAAUUCCUCAAAAUCAUUAAGGGAAUUCAGCGCUGACUAGGCAACUCCGGUAUAGAGCGUCACGGAUUUUGUGCCAAAUCUUGCUUGGAAAAGGAGGAGAGGUACCAGAUGGAGCUUUGUGUUGGUGAUGGCGGCAGGUGAGAAACAGGUGAUCGCAAACAGAUGGACCCUGUAUUGCAGAGAGACCACCAGCAUCACACUUUGCCAACUUCUGUGCCCCGAGUAGUCAGAAGAUACAAUUCUGUGUGUGGCAACAUUGUGUUGAGCUCAAACUACAUA
This 823-nucleotide long non-coding RNA is filed under the name Mus musculus (house mouse). RNAcentral's name for it is "long non-coding RNA chr10:111903471-111904294". The record is from RNAcentral. Lineage: Eukaryota; Metazoa; Chordata; Mammalia; Rodentia; Muridae.